AUGAGCUCACCUUGCCAGUGGACGAGAGACCAUGAAAAAACCACAGUGGAAUUAGCAUCACUGGGGUCUGUAAGAGUGCCCAAGAAGUCACGUAACUACCAUUCACCUGGAAAUGCUGCAGGAUGGACAGAGAAGUGGAAGAAUGUGAAAGAAAAUCAGAAAGGCUGCUGCCAUCACUGGGGAAGAACCAACUUCAGAGCCUGUGAUGAAGAGCUGGUGUUUUCUGAUGAGCUAUUGGCGCAUUAG
This 246-nucleotide long non-coding RNA is filed under the name Zonotrichia albicollis (white-throated sparrow). RNAcentral describes it as "lncRNA (ENSZALG00000017694.1)". The record is from RNAcentral. Lineage: Eukaryota; Metazoa; Chordata; Aves; Passeriformes; Passerellidae.